GAAAUGUGUGGUUAAAAUUAAUUGUUGAGUUUGACUUAAAUUUUAUUCAAGUUUUUUUAAGUUAGACCAAACAGAGGCCUAUUCUUUUUCUCUUGUUAAAUAAUAUUGUGAAUUAGCUGUGAUUUAAUGGUUUCUCAUGACUUGAGCUUUCUGGUACAUUCUUUCUGGACUGCUGUAAGCUAUUUAAGUUUAUCGUUACAUAUGCAUAUAGUUGGAUCAUAUUAUAUUUUGAUUAUAUAUUUGCUUAAAUUUCCUCUUUUAAGUCAUUUAUAUGCUUAGUAGUGUUGCAUAUUUUCUGGAGCUGUUUCUUGUCCUCUUAUUAGAGGUUAGCCAUGUAUGUCACAAACAAUCAUUACUUCAUUUUCUCUGGUUCAGCAAAAGAGAUGCAACGGGUUCGCUUGUUUGACGUGUUGGGGAAGCACCCAAAGAACUUGAGAGCAUCUUCAGUUGAGUAGCAAUGGAAAACCGAGGCUUGUCUCAUAGACCAUAUAAGUGUACUUAAUCAAUCCUUGUAUACAGUACAUAACAUGUUUGUGUUUUUGCAUUAGACUAUCAUCAGUCCUCAGUAAGCCAUUUAGAUGUAGCAAAUUUUGAAUUGUAUAGAUUACAAAAGAAUUACUGGCUUUAUACUGCAAUUUUCCGGUAUUUCUCCUUGCUGCUGAUAAAUUUUCCUCAAUUUCAUUUCGUUUAAGAUAUAGAGAAAAUGACUUGGUUAGGCGAUAAGUUGCUAAUGUCCAUUAGUUUAUUUGAUUUUACACACAUCAACGUCACACACUUCUCUUUAAAUUCAUUAUCAAUAUAUAAUUAUAUUACAAGCUUAUAUAUAUGUAUAUUAAAAAAUACAUCCAGAUAUAUGGUUUGCAUAUCCCAAUCUGAU
This 877-nucleotide long non-coding RNA is filed under the name Olea europaea subsp. europaea. The record is from RNAcentral. Lineage: Eukaryota; Viridiplantae; Streptophyta; Magnoliopsida; Lamiales; Oleaceae.